Molecule: transfer RNA, 71 nt
Filed under: Rhipicephalus microplus (southern cattle tick)
Lineage: Eukaryota; Metazoa; Arthropoda; Arachnida; Ixodida; Ixodidae
Description: tRNA-Gly
Rfam family: tRNA
About the family: Transfer RNA (tRNA) molecules are approximately 80 nucleotides in length.
Source: Rfam by way of RNAcentral
GCGUCGGUAGUUCAGUGGUAGAAUACUCGCCUGCCACGCGGGUGACCCGUGUUCGAUUCCCGGCCGACGCA